CCGUGAGGGAAAGUUGAAAAGAACUUUGAAGAGAGAGUUCAAAAGGGCGUGAAACCGCUUAGAAUAAAACGGACGGAACCGUCUGACGCCUUCGGGAAUCAGUCGAACGACGCGCGAACGCGCCCGGGUUUAAUGGAAUGUAAAAGUCCGACUCUGGGUGUCUAGUAGUCGCGUUCGUGAGGCGCAUUUCUCGAGGGUUAGCGUCGCGACCGAUGCGAAAGGCUGGUGAGACUGCCGGGUUGAGGUCGAAACCCCUCGUGGGUAUUCGUUACCAGCCUGGUGGUAAUAAUCGCCAGACUGUAGUAGGCAUCGAGUGUCGAUUAUAGUAAAGCCGGCGAUAAAUAAGCGCUCGUUAGAAAACGGCGGAGAGUCGGCCGAUUAGUUGACACCUGCUUGCAGGUGCUCGAUUAAUACUUGGUCGGUCUACAAAGUCGUCAACGACGUUCCCGGCUUUCAGGCGUCCGCGACGUCCGAGCCGGUCACCCGUCCGACCCGUCUUGAAACACGGACCAAGGAGUCUAACGUAUACGCGAGCUAAUGGGUGGAAAACCUAUAAGCGUAAUAAAAGUAAAAACCAUCUUCACGAUGGUCGAGGUACGAUCCUAGUGGUAAUAUAACAUUAGGCGCAGUACUGCCCCGUCCCGACCGCACGUCGGUAGGGCGGAGAUAGAGUGCAUACGUUGGGACCCGAAAGAUGGUGAACUAUGCCUGAGCAGAGCGAAGCC
This 725-nucleotide ribosomal RNA is filed under the name Xiphinema vallense. RNAcentral describes it as "partial 28S ribosomal RNA". It matches the Rfam family "Eukaryotic large subunit ribosomal RNA", at positions 351 to 853 of the family's 3401-position model. Lineage: Eukaryota; Metazoa; Nematoda; Enoplea; Dorylaimida; Longidoridae. The record is from RNAcentral.